This 495-nucleotide ribosomal RNA is filed under the name uncultured bacterium. RNAcentral's name for it is "partial 16S ribosomal RNA". It matches the Rfam family "Bacterial small subunit ribosomal RNA", at positions 30 to 507 of the family's 1533-position model. The record is from RNAcentral.
UGAACGCUGGCGGCGUGCCUACUACAUGCAAGUCGAGCGAACAGACGAGGAGCUUGCUCCUCUGACGUUAGCGGCGGACGGGUGAGUAACACGUGGAUAACCUACCUAUAAGACUGGGAUAACUUCGGGAAACCGGAGCUAAUACCGGAUAAUAUAUUGAACCGCAUGGUUCAAUAGUGAAAGACGGUUUUGCUGUCACUUAUAGAUGGAUCCGCGCCGCAUUAGCUAGUUGGUAAGGUAACGGCUUACCAAGGCAACGAUGCGUAGCCGACCUGAGAGGGUGAUCGGCCACACUGGAACUGAGACACGGUCCAGACUCCUACAGGAGGCAGCAGUAGGGAAUCUUCCGCAAUGGGCGAAAGCCUGACGGAGCAACGCCGCGUGAGUGAUGAAGGUCUUCGGAUCGUAAAACUCUGUUAUUAGGGAAGAACAAAUGUGUAAGUAACUAUGCACGUCUUGACGGUACCUAAUCAGAAAGCCACGGCUAACUACGUG